This 433-nucleotide ribosomal RNA is filed under the name uncultured bacterium. Its description in RNAcentral is "partial 16S ribosomal RNA". It matches the Rfam family "Bacterial small subunit ribosomal RNA", at positions 29 to 507 of the family's 1533-position model. The record is from RNAcentral.
AACGAACGCUGGCGGCAGGCCUAACACAUGCAAGUCGAGCGCGCCCUUCGGGGUUAGCGGCGGACGGGUGCGUAACGCGUGGGAACGUGCCCUUCUCUUCGGAAUAACCCCGGGAAACUGAGAGUAAUACCGCAUACGCCCUUCGGGGGAAAGAUUUAUCGGCUAAGGAUGGGCCCGCGUUGGAUUAGGUAGUUGGUAGGGUAAUGGCCUACCAAGGCGACGAUCCAUAGCUGGUUUGAGAGGAUGAUCAGCCACACUGGGACUGAGACACGGCCCAGACUCCUACGGGAGGCAGCAGUGGGGAAUCUUGGACAAUGGGGGCAAGCCUGAUCUAGCCAUGCCGCGUGAGUGAUGAAGGCCUUAGGGUUGUAAAGCUCUUUCAGCUGGGAAGAUAAUGACGGUACCAGCAGAAGAAGCCCCGGCUAACUCCGUG